GGAGAGGAGGGGAGUGGAGGGCAGCGACAGCCUAAAGUUCUGCAUUGCUCAAGUCUUGUGAUAAACACUUUUUUUUAAAACAUAUAUACAUACAAUCCUCAUCGUGAGUGAACCAAAUAAUUCGCCUCCCGUGGAGUGUGAAGUAUAAAACCCACAAAGCCAACGCCAGUACAGCAGAGUGUAUAUAUAUUUGUAUGCACUGUAUGUGUGUUCGCCGACAACUUGUUAAAACGCGCCGCAAAGGAGACGUUACGCAAACAGAAGAGAAAGAGAGACGCGAGACGCAGAGAGGCAUGCCGGAGGAGGGACCUUCGGCGGCUGAUUCAUCAGUCCUCUUUGUCAAUCCACUGCUGGACGAAGGCCUCCUCUUCGAGCACGCUUCAGCACAGGGGCGGUGGUGAUAACACUCGAUUUAACCGAAGUCAGGACUCUCCGGGUUCAUAUCGUAGUGCAGUGCGCUAACCACGGCGCCACCGCUCCCAGCGUGGCGAAGUAUGGUCGAACAUCCCCAAUGACCAACACGGCGUGAAGAGGAGGCUUUCAUCCAGCAGUGGAUCGACAAUGGACUGUGCUCCUGGUUUCCUGCCAUAUGAAGCCAAACAUUCGCGGUUUUGUUGGCCAAACAUCCCACGCCUUCUACGUCUUCACCCACGCUCUCCAUUGGUGACCUGGGCCGUCCGGGCACUCGCCACCGAGCCGGCUUGCACGACGCCUGCCGUUUGAUUUACGCUGCAGCCAGCCGCCUCACGGUUCAUUCUGCGACUCGCCGACAACACUCCACCCGCGACCACGUGGAGCAUUGCAUUCUCCGGGAGAUGUCUGUCAUACGACCAGUUCAUGUCGUGCAGGUGGCAGAGCCCAAAAUUCCAGUUGAGGUGAAAUACUGGCGUAUAAAUCGCGUUGUGUUAUGAACCCAGUGACCCGAGUUCGAUUCCCGGCCGUGGCUAAUAUAUAGUUGGAGAGUAAUAUCAGAACUGGUUAUGGGUCCCUCUUCACCAACCCGCACUGACCAGCAUGGUCAAAGUACCCCCAGCACUGACACAGCAUUAGUAGGCCUUCAUCCAGCGGUAGAUUGGCAAAGGGAUAUUGUUGGCUUUUUAAACAUCAUUACAGUAUUAUGAAUAACAAAAAAUAAAAAUUAUAAUAAUGACGUCCAUGCCCGAGUAACAUCUCUCUGGUGAACGAGAGAACGGACUUGCAGUAGGCCAACAACUGGUUAAAAAAAGGACAGCAAACGGAAGAUCACAGACGGACGACGCACGGAUGCAUUUACAUUCCCCAGAAGUGUUUACGAGCUUACAGUACAGUGCAUCACCAAGGCUGACAGAUUAAUUUUCAGGAAGAGCCAUGGGGGCGACAGCACCACAUGGAGUCUGCGGAGUAACCUUUUAAAAAUUUAUUGUUAAUUACCUUUAGAGCGCAGCGCUUUUCAUCACAUCUGCUGAACAAAAUCAAAUCGGCUUUUACGCAAAGAAAUACAUUUGUCGAAGUAAAAGUGGGUGAAACGAAGACCAUUUAAUACAUAAUUAUGCUUGCCUCAUUCAUGAGUUUUUU
Molecule: long non-coding RNA, 1554 nt
Organism: Petromyzon marinus (sea lamprey)
Lineage: Eukaryota; Metazoa; Chordata; Hyperoartia; Petromyzontiformes; Petromyzontidae
Source: RefSeq, a predicted model, not a curated record